Molecule: long non-coding RNA, 330 nt
Filed under: Ananas comosus (pineapple)
Lineage: Eukaryota; Viridiplantae; Streptophyta; Magnoliopsida; Poales; Bromeliaceae
Description: long non-coding RNA (ACOM_LNC021932)
Source: RNAcentral
UUUCAAUCCAUAUGAUCUGAAACAUUCAAUUUCUCAUUCCUUUAAAACUGCAGACCAGUCAACUCCCCACCACACGUAAAAACAAAAAAGAAUUGGAGCAAAAACAUGCAGAAUACUAAUACUCUUUAACUUUCACUGAAACUAUAAAAAUUAAAUCUUAAUCACAAUAGCGCACCGAAUAUUUUUCUAUCAUAUUUUCUCUCAUGACUGUAUCUAACAUAUUUAGCCCGCAAUCUCAUCAAACGGAGCUUAAUGCGUACAUUUGGAUGAUCGAAUAGAUAGAAUAAGAGAGAAGAAAACAGAAAAAACAUAAGAAGGGGGGGGGGGGGG